This is an RNA transcript of Homalodisca vitripennis (glassy-winged sharpshooter), 6779 nucleotides long. RefSeq lists it as uncharacterized. Lineage: Eukaryota; Metazoa; Arthropoda; Insecta; Hemiptera; Cicadellidae. The record is from RefSeq and is a predicted model, not a curated record. The transcript is spliced from 18 exons.
AACAUGGCUGCCGCGGGUUUGAAGGUUCAGAGUUCCCUGGCACUUGUUUUACGAAACACGAUAUCAGUUUGGGCUUUGGUGCUAUUUUUGUUCUGAGAAGUGCUGGUGUUUUAAAUAUAGAAUGGUUGAUCUCAUUCCCGAGCGAAUUUGGAGCUGGGUGGUGGAAGGAUGGAGGAAUAUGGCCGACUUGGCGGAUAAGAUUGACGAUAUGAUCUGUACAUUUGAAGGAGAGGGUGAAACAACAAUGGAUACAGUGGCAAUGUAUAUGUUUGGGUGGAUGAUGUUUGGUUUAGUUGUUUUAGGAAUAGGUAAAUUUGUUUACGGCAAUUUUGUUGCCAAUAAAGACCUAAAAACUCAAAAUGUAAUUGUUGAACCUCCAGUGACUGUUACCAAAAGUGAAAAUAGUGUAGUUGAUGCUGCAGUAAAGCAACCCCCAAAGGACAUUGUUGUUAAAUCUUCAGGUGGUGGAAAAUAUGUACCCCCUACACCGCCUUCUCGUAAAAGGUUAGGUUCCAGAUCUGGCAGACCUGUUGUAGGCCCUGCCAAGCCUAAGUCAACAAACCUAAUUCACCCUCCUCCAACAGCAACAGGGCCUGAAAGUGAAAGUGUUAAGUGGGUUAAUGAGUUAUUUUUUUGGCUGUAUUCUGACUUAGUGAUAGUGAAUGAGUUAUUAAGUGUUUGGAUUCAAUCACUAAAUGACUUUACCAAGAAAUCGGUUGACGAGCAUGGCGUGGGUGCAGAGUUUGUCCGAGUGCUCGGCGAGACACAGACCCCUGUCCUGAGCAACGUGUUCUGCGAGUGUGCUCCAAAUGAUGAUGUGACGAUCACAUGCGACUGUGAAGCUACUCCGGCUCUUCAGCUGAAAGUGUUCCGACAGAAAGGGGAAAAGGUAGAGGUGUCGCACUACCGAGUGAAUGUUAACCGGUUCCGUGCUCGCCUCUCUAUCUUCUGUAUCACCGAGAAACUGCUGGCAGACGUCAAGUGCGAUGGCUGGCCUGAUAUCAAAGUAUCUCUGGCUCAAGUUGGUGCUAUCAAGAACAACAUGGAUGAGAGUCAGCUGCAAGAGGUGAUCACCGAGAUCGUCACAGUUGCCCUGCGGAACACAGAAGUACAUUUCAACCUCUCCCAGUAUCCGACUUGCCCACGGCUCAACCGAUAUGUUCCUCCUCCUUCCCACCUGUUGCCUGUACACUACGAUAGUCUGUUAAACUCAUCUCAUUCCAUGAGCAUCAACUCAAAGACUGCAGAUAAACGACUUCUUGUGAAAGUGGUCAAGGCUGUUGGACUAGGAUGUAAAAAAGGUGUCCAAGAGCCAUUUUGCAUUGUAGAGUUAGACGAACCUCCACAAAAGAACCAAACCUCACUCAAGAAAGACACUGACAGUCCAGUUUGGGAUGAACACUUCUUAUUUGACAUAAGUGGUCACACAAGCGAAAUACUGUUUGAAGUGUACGACCGCGCCCAAGGGGAGAACAAGUUCCUCGGUCUGGCGAUUGUGGGGGUAGAGGAACUGCUGAUCAACCCCUCCCAGCGGCAGACCAUCUCCCUCCAGUCUCGACCGUACCAGGAGGACACUGUCUCCGGGAUGCUCACUCUAGAGUUUCUUUUCAUUGAGGGUGCAGAUCUUCCUCAAAUGGGUGAUAAACCUUUCAAGCUGAAAGAAACUCUCAAAUCCGUCUCACCGUCAGGGAAAACUGUCACCACCACCAAAACUGUCUUCGCGAAGCCAGGACCAACCACAGAACACCUGACCAACGGUGGUGAUGGCGUGACUGACUCGGCCCUACGUGACCUGGAGCUGCGCAACAAGGGCCCACCCACCCAGACCAGCAAGAGCACGCUCAUCAUCCACAGUGUACAGCGGCAACCGCAGAAACAAUUGCUGAAGGACCAGACAGCACCGAACUAUGAACUCUUUAACCGAUAUUCUCGUAACGUUAGACAGCAAGGAAUGAGAGAGACUACAGGGCCAGGAGGUACUCAGGGACAGCAUGUCCACAUACUGCAACCCUCUGACAACCAAGCUGAAGCAGAAAGAGGUAGAAGUAGAAAAAAGAGAGACUUUUUUGGUACUAUAAAAAAAAGACUGAGUAGAUCGAAAAUGCGCUCAAAGUCCAUGGAUCCAGGAGAGUAUGAUGAGUCGUCCAAUUCGGACCCUUUAAAUCGUUCGAUUUCCGCAGACAGAGCCAGAGACCCCUCGGCACACUCAACAGGUUAUCUUUCAGUGCCGCCAAGAGAGGGCUCCACCAGGUCGUCUCUGAGCGAGGCGUCAGGCAUUAGCGGAGCGUCCAACCGGACGUACAUCAACGAGGCUUCCACAUUGGUGCUGGAGACUAUCGAAAACGGAAUUAAAAAGUAUUAUCUAGUUCCGCUGUCGAUUGCGCAGAAAAGUAAAUGGAAAAAGAAAGGAACCAAACUACACAUAUUCAACGAUCACACCUUUAUUGCCAAACACUUACCAGGGGGAACGCAGUGUCAGGUGUGCAGCAAGGUCCUACCCCGCCGCCUAGGAAAGCAAGGGUACGAGUGCCGCGACUGUCAGCUCAAGUGCCACAAGAUGUGCCACAUCCGCGCGGACAACACUUGCCCGAGCUCUAACAUCCAGAGUAUAGAACUGUCCCUUUUGCCUGUGCUGAGCGAAUAAAACCUUGGGUAAGCAAAAGAACUGUGUGCUAUUUGUAGUUUUCAGUCGUCCGUCACAGUCAUAUGUGCGGACGCAAGUAGUCCUUACUCAGUGCGCCGCCUAAUGCGGCAGACGCAACCUCAACGCUAGCAGCAGAGGCAUCACGCACAGCCGUAGGUAGUGUUCUGUGUUGCCAUUGUCACUGUUACCACAUCAGAACUCUGACCAUUCGAGCAGCAAAAGACACUUAGUGUUAAUGUUAUAUCAGAAUAGGCCAUAACCAGUUGUACAUCAUCGAUGAAUGCGAAAAUACCGAGUUUUACUUUAUUUUGUUCUAAUAACUGAAUUAUGUUUUUCGCAAGUACCAACAUAAGAUUUAAUUAGUAUAAGUUUGUACAUAUUCACAUAAAUAAUGCUUUAAAUUAGUUCUAAAUAUUACUUUAUGGAUUAUAUUUGAAAAUAUAAUUUUAAAAUCUCUUACGAUUAGAUAAGAGUUGUGUUAGAUUUUUAUUUAUCAUUUGUACACUAAUGAGUUGAAUUAAGUUUUAGUGAUGCAUUAAUUUUAUACAUAAGCAAAUUAUAGAUAUGUAUUAAAAUACAAGGUAAUCAAUUACUUUAAUAUUUGCAUGAGUGUUGUAUUGAAUAUCUCUUCUCACAUGGAAAGUGUUACGUCCAUUCUAGAAUUAUGUGUAAUUUUAAUCAAUCAAUGUAAAUAGACUAGGUAGUAUUUUUUAUUUUAAUUAAUUUUUUUAUAUUUUAUACUGUUUUGUUUUAGUUUGUUGUAGUCUAUUGCAGAUUUUUAUAUGGAUCAGUAAUGUUUGUUACCUCUUUUUAGUUAUAUUUAUUUGUAAAGUUUUUUCCACUUUGUGUAGUCAUUUUUAUGGUCUUCUGUCUAAUCUAGUGAAAUUAUAAAUCCGCACCGUAAGUGUCCGAACAUGAGUACAAGUGAUCAUCAAAUGUUAUGUUUAUUUACUAUAAGAUUCUUGAUGUAAAAGAAUGCAAUCACUGUUGUUGUGGAUAUUUCAGUUAUAUACUAAGUAGCCUAUCCUGCUCGGACGUCAGAGUUCUGAUGUUGUCCAACGAUGCUAAAAUGUAAUCAAAAGCGUGCUGCCAUAUUGAAAGUGAAUUUCCAGUCUUGAAAUGUUACCAUUUAUGUCUUGAGUACCUGAUAUAAUCAACGAGCUGGCUACUCUCAAAUCAAGGCAUCUCCCGGGUGUUAAAUAGUGAUAAGAUUUAUUUUGGAGUAUAAACAGUAAGGGAUAACUGAUUCACGUAUAAUAGUUGAAACAAUUACAAUACAUAAUUUUGUCCAUACAGUUCAGCAUUUCUAUUUACUGUAUAUUUAGGAAAAUUUUGUUUAUUGUAUUUGCAGAAAUACAAGAAGAUUUAUGAGUUUAGUGUGAUUUUUUAAAUAUAAACCAUUUGAAAUUAAAUUCAAUACAGUAACUGAUAUAAGAUUUACAAAACUGGGUUUUAAUGUUAGUCCGUUUUAACUAAUUUAAUUACAAUUCACCAAGGUUCACCUGCACACCUGCAAGCCACCUCUUGAAUUGUUAUUGUAUUAACAGGUCUGUCCUAUGAAAUAAUCCAAUAUGGCUGACAGCAGCAUUAUGUACAGUCCUGUUAUCUGCUCACAUGUAUCCGGACAGUCAACACAUGUAUACAAAUUACUGUAGUGAUUGUUGCCAAGUUUUUUUUAACGAUAAUUUAAGAUAGGUAACUUCUUAAAGACAGUUGUUAAAGUUAUGAGAGCUGUUCAUUGAAGGAUAACAUUAUCAAUUGAUUUGGUAUUGUGUUGAUUAUUUUUUUCUUUUUCUUAAUUUACCUACUCCCCCAACAUACAUUUUUUGUAUACCUCUCACUGUUUAUUAUUGGAUGUGACUGACGUUUAAGAUACAUGAUUGCUAGAUACACGGCUGCACCUUGUGUGAGAACUGCCAUUAUGGAUUACAGGACAGUAGUAUUAUACUGAAUUUCAUCAUUACAUACAUCAAAGGUGCAACACAGGUAUAAUAUGUGCUUAAUUUGAAUGUGUACGUAAUUAUAACAUUCAAGAAAAGUCAAUUUUGGCAUUUUCUGUUGUUGAAAUAUUUGCCUAGCUAUUCGAAAAGGUCAACUUCACCAGAUUUGGCCGAAGUGGAAAGCUUAGAAUCUGUGCAGAGGUGGAUCUUGUGCAUGGCAUAACUAACAUAUACGUUUUAUUUUACAAAUUAGAUUUUAAGCAGCCGUUUAAGAAUUAGAAUGUACUUUCGCCUUACAAAGCUAUUUUGCUCAAUAAACAGUGAUGUAAGCAGAUACAAAAUUUAUGGUAGGUAUUGCACUUUCGCUAUUGAUAUUUAGAGGAAUUAGAUAUAGAUCAAUAAAUCCCAGUUUUUCAUCGCUUUCCCAGUUAAAUCAGCCUUCCAUUACUGGAACUUCUUAAAUAAUUCUAUUAUGAGUAGUUUUGACUGCAUAUGCCAAGUACAAUCUAAUAAAUAAAGUACAUUUUCAGGCCUAACGUUUAGCAUUUUCUGAAUGAAAUUUAUUCGUACAUGCGCUGUUAUUUUGGUGUGAUAAUUUAAAGCAAGUAGAGAAUAUAUUUACAUUAUUUUUUACACCUUUAAAAACACUCCUUGAAAAAGCUUGAAAUAGUAACAAUAGAUUGAAAAUUUGUUGCUGGUGUUGUGAGAUUAAAGGCAUGGAGACUUACUUUGUUUUCAUUUAAUAUAUUUUUUACUCUUUACGAAGUAAUUGACUUUAUCAGUAUUUUAAAGCAUAUAUUCAAAGAAAAGUCUAGACUAAACAUUUUGAAAUAAUAUAUGUGAUUAGCAUUGUGCCUUGUUUUGUACAUAACGCUAGCAGACCUUGUCACCACUUCAAGGUUUAAUUCCUCAGCACAAGAGGCAACGUAUUUUGGUGUUGAACGUAAAUUCUCACUUCAUUAGAUUGUUUUUUCUUGCAAACUCUAUCGAAAAAAAUGCCUUAUUCCAAGUUAAUCAGUGUCCAUGAAAAAGUUGCGGCCGAAGCACUUUGUAGUCUUUUUACUUUACGUGUAAUUUUACUUAAAACUCUGUAAAUAAACUUAUAAUCUGUUGGAGUUUUGUUUCUCAUGUGAUCACUUUGAAUUUAAAUUUGUAGUUUCAUCAGAGACAAUGUAAUGAAGCAGUGGCUGUUCAUGUUUCAUUAAAGGCUUGUAUUUGAUGUUAGACUUUUAAUAUCAACAAAUGUAUUAAUGUAAUAAAUAGUUUUACUCGAUUUUCAGAUUCUGUCAAUUAAGUUGGGAGGAAGGGACUUUUGUUUGUUUAAACGUAAAAGUUGUAUCUAUGAGGGCCAUUCAAAUAUAAUCAGAAAUUUGGUUUCCGCUGGUGGCAUAUUGAUGGGCAUUGGAGAAGGGAUAGAAACAGUUCCAAAAUGUGAGCCAGAAAUUGUGAGCCAACCUUACCACACCACCGAUAGAAACAUAAAUUACUGAAUGUAUAUUUGAAUGAUUCUGAGUUACGUAAGUCUCAGUAGGCUAGAGCUAAUAUAGCUUUUAGUUCCUAUACAAGUACUUACGAGGCAGGGACCAUGGGCUUAGGCUUGGAUUUAUAUUGGUUUCACGUUUCUAGUCUUCUUGGUUCUAUCUUUAUAAAGUAAGUGAAAACCCAUGACACUCUUGUAUUAGUUUCAUUUUCGGUUGUGGUUUUUGUAUGCCUGGUCUAGUCUUAUUAACAAGUGAUUAUUUUGUGAAAUAUUGUUUGAACUCGUUCAGCACAAUGUAUUAAAGUUAUGUUUAAUUUUCAGUGUUUACUGAUUUAAUGGAAAGAAUUGUGUAGUUAAUUUGUACUGUAAUGUAAAACUUAAUUUUCAAUGUACUUAUGUUACGUAGAAUGAACGUAUCGCCUACGUACGUGUUAGGUUACGUAGGCCCAUGACGUAUGAAUUGAACAGUGAGAUUUUUUUAAGUGAAAUUUUUAAGUAGGAUGUUAAAGCGGUAGCUUUUUUAAUGUUAUUAUAUCACUAUCACUAGCUUUAUAUGAUUUUACUUACACAAAUUGUGUUGAGUUAUUUUUUAUAACACUUGUUAAUUUAUUCGGUUGAGGACUGUUUUACACAGUCCAGCUCUGCAUUACAUGUCAAUCUGUUAACCAUAGCUUUAUAUAGCAAUAGAGAAAUAAACCAAUUGGUUUUGUUGGGA